GAGGGUAUAGCUCAAGUGGCAGAGCACAUGCUUAGUAUGCAUGAGGUCCUGGGUUCAAUACCCAGGUACUUCCA
Molecule: transfer RNA, 74 nt
Filed under: Camelus bactrianus (Bactrian camel)
Lineage: Eukaryota; Metazoa; Chordata; Mammalia; Artiodactyla; Camelidae
Also listed under: 2 other names
Rfam family: tRNA
About the family: Transfer RNA (tRNA) molecules are approximately 80 nucleotides in length. Their secondary structure includes four short double-helical elements and three loops (D, anti-codon, and T loops).
Source: Rfam by way of RNAcentral